RNAcentral lists this transfer RNA (71 nucleotides) under Imshaugia aleurites. RNAcentral describes it as "tRNA-Trp". It matches the Rfam family "tRNA". Rfam says of the family: Transfer RNA (tRNA) molecules are approximately 80 nucleotides in length. The record is from RNAcentral. Lineage: Eukaryota; Fungi; Ascomycota; Lecanoromycetes; Lecanorales; Parmeliaceae.
AAGAGUAUAAUUUAACGGUAAAAUAGGAAGCUUCAAACUUCAAAUUCUCAGUUCAAGUCCGAGUACUCUUG